UAACAAGGAUUCCCCUAGUAACUGCGAGUGAAGCGGGAAGAGCUCAAAUUUGAAAUCUGGCGGUCUCAGGCCGUCCGAGUUGUAAUCUGGAGAAGCGUUUUCCGCGCUGGACCGUGCACAAGUCUCCUGGAACGGAGCGUCAUAGAGGGUGAGAAUCCCGUCCAUGGCACGGACGACCAGUGCUUUGUGAUACGCUCUCGAAGAGUCGAGUUGUUUGGGAAUGCAGCUCAAAACGGGUGGUAAAUUCCAUCUAAAGCUAAAUAUUGGCGAGAGACCGAUAGCGAACAAGUACCGUGAGGGAAAGAUGAAAAGCACUUUGGAAAGAGAGUUAAACAGUACGUGAAAUUGUUGAAAGGGAAACGCUUGAAGUCAGUCGCGUCCGGCAGAACUCAGCCUUGCUUCGGCCUGGUGUACUUUCUGUCGGACGGGUCAACAUCAGUUUUGAACAGUGGAAAAAGGCAAGGGGAAUGUAGCGCCGUCUCGGCGGCGUGUUAUAGCCCCUCGUCGGAUACACUGGUUGGGACUGAGGAACCGCGCAGCACGCCCUUGUGGCCGGGGCUUUCGCCCACGUCACGUGCUUAGGAUGUUGGCAUAAUGGCUUUAAGCGACCCGUCUUGAAACACGGACCAAGGAGUCCAACAUGCUUGCGAGUGUUCGGGUGGAAAACCCUUGCGCGUAAUGAAAGUGACAGUUGGGAGCCUCCGCAAGGGGGUGCACCGACGCCCGGCCCUGACGUUCUCUGACGGUGCUGCGGUAGAGCAAGUAUGCUGGGACCCGAAAGAUGGUGAACUAUGCCUGAAUAGGGCGAAGCCAGAGGAAACUCUGGUGGAGGCUCGUAGCGAUUCUGACGUGCAAAUCGAUCGUCAAAUUUGGG
This 874-nucleotide ribosomal RNA is filed under the name Phellinus resupinatus. RNAcentral describes it as "LSU rRNA". It matches the Rfam family "Eukaryotic large subunit ribosomal RNA", at positions 66 to 915 of the family's 3401-position model. Lineage: Eukaryota; Fungi; Basidiomycota; Agaricomycetes; Hymenochaetales; Hymenochaetaceae. The record is from RNAcentral.